AUGAUUGCGAAUGGUCGCCUUCAGUGCUGGCUCUUGCAAGUGCACGCUGGUGGCUUUCAUCCAAUACCCUGUGCACCUUAGCCUCUAGUGAGCUAGCUUCGGCUGGCAGAGGAUUUUUAUUUACACACUCGAAUGUAAUGAAAACUAGCGUCGUGCGCAAGCACUAAUGUA
Molecule: unclassified non-coding RNA, 171 nt
Filed under: uncultured Sebacina
Lineage: Eukaryota; Fungi; Basidiomycota; Agaricomycetes; Sebacinales; Sebacinaceae
Description: sequence contains ITS1
Source: RNAcentral